Molecule: long non-coding RNA, 179 nt
Organism: Sycon ciliatum
Lineage: Eukaryota; Metazoa; Porifera; Calcarea; Leucosolenida; Sycettidae
Exons: 3
Source: RefSeq, a predicted model, not a curated record
UUCAGCCGGUGCGUUUGCUAAUUCCGGCCCAAGUUUGAUAAAGGUUGACUUCAGCUUUUCUGGAAUACAAGCUCUACCACAGGCACUGUUCAUUAGCACACCAUUGCUGGAAGUUUUUAAUAUGGACAAUAACAAGCUUACUAACCUGCCAAGUGACCUCUUUGCCUAUACUCACAACC